This 506-nucleotide ribosomal RNA is filed under the name uncultured bacterium. RNAcentral describes it as "partial 16S ribosomal RNA". It matches the Rfam family "Bacterial small subunit ribosomal RNA", at positions 28 to 523 of the family's 1533-position model. The record is from RNAcentral.
GAUGAACGCUAGCUACAGGCUUAACACAUGCAAGUCGAGGGGUAACGAGAGGAAAGCUUGCUUUCCUUGUCGACGACCGGCGCACGGGUGAGUAACGCGUAUCCAACCUGCCCCCAACUAAGGAAUAACCUUGCGAAAGUAAGACUAAUACCUUAUAAUUUCCUCAGAUGCCAUCUGACGAGGAAUAAAGAUUUAUCGGUUGUGGAUGGGGAUGCGUCUGAUUAGCUUGUUGGCGGGGUAACGGCCCACCAAGGCAACGAUCAGUAGGGGUUCUGGGAGGAAGGUCCACCACAUUGGGACUGAGACACGGUCCAAACUCCUACGGGAGGCAGCAGUGAGGAAUAUUGGUCAAUGGGCGAAAGCCUGAACCAGCCAAGUAGCGUGCAGGAUGACGGCCCUAUGGGUUGUAAACUGCUUUUAUACAGGAAUAAAGUUAGCCACGUGUGGUUAUUUGUAGGUACUGUAUGAAUAAGGACCGGCUAAUUCCGUGCCAGCCGCCGCGGUAA